This 2865-nucleotide unclassified non-coding RNA is filed under the name Hevea brasiliensis (rubber tree). The record is from RNAcentral. Lineage: Eukaryota; Viridiplantae; Streptophyta; Magnoliopsida; Malpighiales; Euphorbiaceae.
GGAACGCUCACUCGCUCAGCAGCCGGUAUAAAAGACCCAGCAAGGCAAUUAAGCAAAAGCCAGAGAAGAAGAAGAUAAAAAAAAAAAUAGAAAGCAUGAAAUUUUCUGAAAAGAAAAAUCAAAAUGGACGCAUGAUACCUCCCAAAGAGAACGAAUGGCCGCAUAGGAGAAUGAAGAACCUCGAUCUCAUAAUCCAAUCAAAGGAUUGCGGCCUUGAGGAGUUCGAGGAUGCACCAGUGGAGGGUUUCGGCGCGGCGUUGCUUGCAGGAUAUGGAUGGUAUAAAGGCAGAGGAAUUGGCAGAAACGCCAAGGAAGAAGGCAAAAUCGAAUUCCGCGAGAAGAUUGGAAGGAAUUCAAGGGAAGGACUGGGCUAUGUGUCUCUUAAUUCUCAAAGUAAGGUGGACAUUAGAGACGAAGAAAUAUGAUGAAUAUGUGGACAUCUGAAAAUAUCGAUGAAAGCUGGCAUAGGAGAUGGUUUGCUAUUUUCAGUUUUAUCAACAUUACAUUGAUGCACGAUUUUACUCCCAUCAAUUAAUCUCCUCUUUUUCAGAUGCUUGUCUUCUUGCCCUAAUUUUCUUUUCAUUUUAAGAAGAAAUUUAAUUAUCUGCUAUAAACUCACAUUAGCACCAACGAUCAUGCAAUCGUCCAGAUUUUUUUUUUCUUUUUAAUACUUGCGCCCCAAAAAACAAAGGGUCGAAGUUUUUCUUUUUGGUAGCAAGGAGGGAAAGCAAAAGCUCACAGAAACAAACUAAAGCAAACUGCCAACCAAAUAAGAUUAAAUACUAUUUAAUUAUUAUCACUUAAUUCAAAUUUAGGAAUCAAUUAACAUAACCUUUAUAAAAAUUUCAAACUUCAUAUUCUCAUAAAGUGCUUUUUGAAUAGAUCCGCCUGAAACCUCACAAAUUCGCAUGACAGAAGGAAGCAACCAACCAUCAUCAAGAAGUUUGAUCCGCCAAAACUGGCAUAGGCAGGGCGAAGCAGCCAAUAACUCCCGGUCACGUAAACGCUAAUUCAAGACGUAUUAUAACAUAUUUCUGAUUCACUAAAAAUUAAUACACCUCAUUUUUAUAAUAUUUUUUUAUUACUCCUAAAAAUAAAGAGUAAAUCGGCAAUAAUAAUAAUAAUCACAAUAAUAAUUUAAUAUAACUUGCCUCAAAACAAGCAAGCAUGAAGGCAUCCAUAAAAGUUCAACCCAAAACCUAUUUAAAACUACCGUGGAACACUCCUUAAAUAUAUUAUAAAUUAAUUUAAAAUUAAAUUUAAUAUAUUUUAAUUACAAAAAAUCUAACAAAUUUUUUCAAGCUACUUUUUUCGGUACUUUAUUAAAAAGAAAAACAAUUUUUUAAACCUCCAACCCGAACCCAAGCCCAAGUCAUCAGAACAUACAAGAAGCAGGCUGAAAACCAUGUCAUAAUAGUACUACAAGCUUCCUACAUGUGGAAUUGUCAAAACCAGACGAUACCUCAAACAUAACUACUAGUAGUUACAGGGUUCCAAAGUAGUUACAUUUGAUUAGGCUGAGAAGAAAAGGACUAUAGACAACCAGUUGUAUUUUACUGCGGCCCAGGGGUUCAAAGCAGCAGCAUAUUAUUAAUCUCCUGCUCAAACUCAAUUUCUCCUUUUCUUCUUCCUCUCUUCCCUCUCAGCUGAAUUCUUCAACUGAACAAAAAAGAAUAUUUUGUUAGUUUUGCUUACGCAUUGGAUAUAUUUAAUGUGUAGCAUUAAAAAAAUUGGAGAAAUUAGGAACCCACCAUAAUUAUGAGGAUUCGCACAAAGACGGCAACGAAGUCAGUGAAAAGAUUCAGAGCAUGCUUCACAUAGUCCAGAUCACCAAGGUGAGCCUUCUCAAUGAUGUCCUGGGUGUCAACCACCACAUAACCCACAAACACCAAAAGCCCAAAGUACAACUCAAACUUAAAGAUGGCCGCAGAUCCCCCAAAGAUAGAAGAUGCAAACUGCAACCAGAGAAGGAUGGACAAGCCAGAUGAAAGCAACCCACCAAGGUAAAGAUACUCUCUACGCCUCGCCAACGUAGCUGCUGCUGAGAAACAACCAAAAGCCACUGAAGUUCCCACAAAUGCAGUGAUCAAAAUGCUGUCACAAGCAUGAAGAUCAUGCAGAAAAUUAGCACAUUGUUUUCCAAUAUCAUGCCAAAAAGGAUUAGCAAGAAUGCUUUUACAACAACCAUAAUAAACACCAAAUUUAACCAGACAAAAUAUGUAAAAAGUGUAAUUCACGAGCACUUAGUGAUAAGGAACUUUGCAUACACUACCUCACAAGUCAGUUCUACCCACACCAUAAAAACCAAAAAAUUUAACUUCCAUUACUUGCACCAAACAGAAUAUCCAAUAACAGUUAUCUGAAAUUGUACUCAAACUUUACAUAUAUUAAGUAAUACAUAACAUGUAUGUACCUUGGAUCAAUUUCAAUGGCCAAAUCAACCAGAGGACCAACGGAAGCACCUUCAAAGAGUCCAGCUGCCAUCAACAGAGCUACCCGCUUUUGUUCUUCAUAAGGUGGCACGGAGAGUAGCCAAGCCAUGCUUCCCAAACAUGCAAACGUCGUCAGAAGACCACCAAUGUUCCACAGGAUAUGUAGGUAAGCCCCAGCUGCAGAUGCAACCAGUGCACAACAUAAGGUCAAAUAAACCUGCUUAAGAUGAGUCUGGACAACAGGAGAGAUCUGGCGGAAGUUCUUGAGGGAGUCGUAGGUCCAGCGAUUCCUUGAAGCCGAUUGGGAGUCGAAGAACGAUGCGAACGCUUCCAUUGGCAGGAAAGAAAGAGAACAAGAGGAGAUGCGCAAGAAGAUGUCGAAUCAAAAGAAACAAACAGAGAUUGGUGAAGGAGACUUUUUCUAUGCUUCUUU